Molecule: ribosomal RNA, 276 nt
Filed under: uncultured Thiobacillus sp.
Lineage: Bacteria; Pseudomonadati; Pseudomonadota; Betaproteobacteria; Nitrosomonadales; Thiobacillaceae
Description: partial 16S ribosomal RNA
Rfam family: Bacterial small subunit ribosomal RNA
Source: RNAcentral
AACCCUUAUCAUUAGUUGCUACGCAAGGGCACUCUAAUGAGACUGCCGGUGACAAACCGGAGGAAGGUGGGGAUGACGUCAAGUCCUCAUGGCCCUUAUGGGUAGGGCUUCACACGUCAUACAAUGGUCGGUACAGAGGGUUGCCAAGCCGCGAGGUGGAGCCAAUCCCAGAAAGCCGAUCGUAGUCCGGAUUGUUCUCUGCAACUCGAGAGCAUGAAGUCGGAAUCGCUAGUAAUCGCGGAUCAGCAUGCCGCGGUGAAUACGUUCCCGGGUCUU